This 251-nucleotide ribosomal RNA is filed under the name uncultured bacterium. RNAcentral's name for it is "partial 16S ribosomal RNA". It matches the Rfam family "Bacterial small subunit ribosomal RNA", at positions 524 to 776 of the family's 1533-position model. The record is from RNAcentral.
UACGAAGGGUGCAAACGUUAUUCGGAAUCACUGGGCGUAAAGGGUGCGUAGACGGUAUGUUAAGUUCGUUGUUAAAGGCUCUGGCCUAACCGGAGUACUGCGAUGAAAACUGGCACACUAGAGGGUGAGAGAGAAGUGGAAUUCCCGGAGUAGCGGUAAAAUGCGUGGAUCUCGGGAGGAACACCAAUGGCGAAGGCAGCUUCUUGGCUCAUUCCUGACGUUGAGGCACGAAAGCGUGGGGAGCAAACAGG